RNAcentral lists this long non-coding RNA (480 nucleotides) under Linum usitatissimum (flax). RNAcentral's name for it is "long non-coding RNA (LUSI_LNC008094)". The record is from RNAcentral. Lineage: Eukaryota; Viridiplantae; Streptophyta; Magnoliopsida; Malpighiales; Linaceae.
GGUACGGACCUGAGCACAAAUUCAUGAAGGACAUCAUGCCGCAACCUCAAAUUUCGAGCUACGAUGACAACGGUAUCAAGCUAAGCAAGGUUGAAGAAGGUAGAUUCGUUAGAGACAUCGAGUCACAACCUCAAAUCUCCAACUAUGAUGGCGAUGCUAUGUCAAAUAAAUUUGUUAAGGACAUCGAGCCGCAACCUCAAAUCUCGAGCUAUGGAACCCCGCACAAAUUCACAAAGGACAUCAUGCCACAACCUCAAAUUUCGAGCUACGAUGAGAAGGGUGUCGAGCGGAGCAAGGUCGAAGAAGGUACUGGAAAAUUCGUUAGAGACCUCGAGUCACAGCCUCAAAUCUCCAACUACGACGACAAUAAUACCGCCCCGAAUAAGUUUGCAAAGGAUUUGAGGUCGGAACCUCAAAUCUCCAACUACGACGACAAUAAUACCGCCCCGAAUAAGUUUGCAAAGGAUUUGAGGUCGCAAC